This 486-nucleotide long non-coding RNA is filed under the name Struthio camelus australis. RNAcentral's name for it is "lncRNA (ENSSCUG00000002595.1)". Lineage: Eukaryota; Metazoa; Chordata; Aves; Struthioniformes; Struthionidae. The record is from RNAcentral.
AGUCUCUUCAGAGACUGGACUGUGAAGAGAAUAUUAUUUAAAACAAAAUCUUGUGAAAAGUAAUGUUCCACAAUGCACAGGCAAGACUAACCGUUAUCUUAAGAGGAGCGACACCAUAUCUCAUUACAAAGUUCAGUACCAUCCACACGUCAGCAUAACAUCUGCCUUUAUGGUUUUCGAAAGAGAAGCAGUCUUGGAAUUAUAUGGACAGAGAAAGUGUCCCAUCAUUCAGACCGUGCUUCGGUUAUACCAUGGAGAUUACAAAAAUACAACCUACAAAAAUGUACUCUACAUCAGCUACAGCUACAUUUAACUAUAGUCUGCAGAGAAAUUAAUGUCAAGUGUGGCAACAGGCGUCUUCCACAGGAAUGCGAUAGAGCCACCUAUUCAGAUAUCCUUAGAAUCCAACUGCUUUGUGGAGUUGUAGUUUCUGAUUCCAGCUGUCCUUUAACCAGAGUUUUGGUGCCCGUCGCAUAUAGCAGAUGA